UGCGCAGGCGGACCUAUUAGUCAGUGGUGAAAUCCCGGGGUUCAACUCCGGAACUGCCAUUGAUACUGUAGGUCUUGAGUUUGGUUGAAGUGGGCGGAAUGUAGCAUGUAGCGGUGAAAUGCAUAGAUAUGCUACAGAACACCGAUCGCGAAGGCAGCUCACUAAACCAAAACUGACGCUCAGGCACGAAAGCGUGGGUAGCGAACAGGAUUAGAUACCCUGGUAGUCC
RNAcentral lists this ribosomal RNA (229 nucleotides) under uncultured bacterium. RNAcentral's name for it is "partial 16S ribosomal RNA". It matches the Rfam family "Bacterial small subunit ribosomal RNA", at positions 568 to 796 of the family's 1533-position model. The record is from RNAcentral.